CUGUAGCUACAUCCGUAGCAAUCUGUAUCCUUUGUGUCCAUUUCAAGAACUUUCCUUCGUUGCUGCUAACAUGAAUCCAAUCACUCAAAGGUCCAUUGGCAGCAUACUCGUAAACCAGGUACCAAUGCCCAUCAUUGAAACAAACACCAGAGAGGCGAAUUAGAUUACAGUGGUUGAUCUUAUUCAAUAAAUCUAUCUCCUUGGACACGUCUCCGUUCAUCUUCUUAAUGGCAGCGAAAUCACCAUUGAUUAGGCCACGAAAAACAGACCCUUUGAUCCAACAACUGGGACUGAAGUUAUCUGUUGCAGCUUUCAGAUCUUCAUAGUUGUAGACUUUGAUGGAUUGAGCUAUGCUAUAAACACUCUCUAACAAAUCCUGAGGUUCUUCAUCCAACUUCCUGUUGAGUGGUUUCUCAUGUGCCUCAAAGCUUUGUGACACGAUAAUUGGACCCGGUUGCUUCUUGCUUUUUAGGAAGAACAUGAAGAAAAUAAUGGUUCCAAUGACUAGUGUAAGAACAAUUCCUCCAAAAACCCCAACGACAAGAUAAACCCAUGUUGUGUUUGAGCUUUUGACGGAGUUUGGUGACGGUGGUGGAGGUGGAGGUGGAGGUGAAGGUGAAGCUGGAGGUGGAGGUGGCACUACAGUUUGUGAACUUGUUGGUGGGUUUUUUAGAGGAAUUAGGAGUGUUGUGAAGGGGUAAAUCGUGGGAUAUUUCUCACUGAUUUCAUUUGCUUCAAGAGCUCUCCCGAUAUCUGCACCAAAUCGUACACUAGCUCUUGAAACUGUAUCGCCCUGUGUGACUAAGUAACUUAACAGAUACCUGAUACCUAAAUCACUCUGGUUCUUUGUAGGACAGGCACAUCUAAGAGGAACAGUGAGUGUCUCACCAGCAAAUAUAUCGACAGUGAGUGUACUUUUUAGAUUCCGGAUAGCUUGACAGGUUGAGAGGCCUUGAUAAGUGUUAUUAGCAAUCAAGAAAGGAGUGUUACCUGGUUGAACAAUGUAAGAUGCGUUUGCCUGAAAAUAAUCGCCUGAACAUGAGCAGUUGACGGGAACCAGCACCAACUGGUUUGUUGGAAAUGAUGCAGUCUCGGAAACUGAAUUCAUUUGAGAGAGCUGAGAUGGGUCUGAAGCCAAAAGAGUAGAUAUGGAGGCAACAGUAGUGUAAGGAGGUUGGGAUCUGAAGGUCAGAUAAGCUUGGCAACUCUUGUUCAGGCCAUUGCAAGAAUAUCCCAGAGCGGAAUUCUGUGUGUUUGAACACUUUGUUGUACCUUUCCCCACGUAAGGCUGCUGAGCUUGAAUCAAAGAACAGCAAUAAAGAACGAAGAGAGCGAAAGGAGAAACAACAGAACGGAAGCUCAUGUUGAUUUGGGAAAGAACUAAUUGUGUGAAUGGCAAAAUACAGUUCAAGAGGAAUGGAUAUCUAUUCAGGCAAAGCAGAGAGGUUGCACGAGGAACUUUUUUCUUUAAAAAGAAGAAAGAUUCUUCAUAUAAUUGAAAUUCAUGAAAGAGAAAUUUCUUGGACAUAGGAAUGGCGAGGAUUACGCGUUUGGUAUUAUCGUAUAAAUUAUUUUUUAUUUAAAAAUAUAUUAAAAUAUUUUUUAUAACAAUAUAUUUAAUAUUUUUUAAGUCAAAUAUAUUUUUAAAAUAAACUCAAAUUCAUUAUCAAACAAAAAAAAAUAAACAGCAUAUUAACAUUUGUCAUUUGUCAGUAUUAAGAUACUUAACUACAUAGUUAUUAAACUCCAUCUAAAAUUAACUCGGUUAAAUAGCCCCGUCAAUUGAUUUGACUCGGGUAAACUGGAAAAGAGUAGAAAGUUGAGCUACAAGUCAUCACUGAUUACUGAAAUGGGAUUUCUCACGCUAAGGGUCCACGUUUCAUCCUCGACAAACACCUUUUCUCUGGUUUCACAGAAGAUUAGUCUGCAUUUAACUCCUCCACAACGUAUUCAUUUGAAACAUAAGAUCAAGCUCUCAGGGAAUUGCCCAGGUACUGGAACUACUUGCUAUGAUUUUACGGUAGAUGUUCCUUCACCAUUACAAAAGGACCUUGAUGCGUACUGGACCAGCACACAAAGAAACUAAUGCUUGUGAUGAAUUGAUAUGUGACUCUAUAAAGAAGAUGCAUGAGCAUCGUCGGAGGCGGGCUUUCUUCCUUGGUUUCAAUCGUCUCCAGCGGAGUUUAUAAUGCUUUAAUUGCUUCUCAGAGCAAAGAUUUGAAGCUUGUCGCUGGAGAUGCUAGCUGCCAUUCAGAAAAUGAGCAGCGAUCUAGUUUCUAUAAUCAACCGAGUUAGACUGGAUUAACUUGUGAGUCACUUGAGUUUUACCAAAAUCAUUACAACUCUAGUUUUUUAUAUAUAAAAACUAGGUCAAAAUUCUAAGUUCUCCAGACAAGGCAAGAUCAGAUUUUAUAAUUAUGCUAAGUUGACCAGAGCAUUUCAUAUCUUUUCACAAGAUAUGGUGCUUGAUGAUGUAUAUUUAAGUAAAAUGCUGCAUUUCCAACCUAAACCAAUCUUUGAAUGCUAAGAUUAGAGGAAUAAUCAAAUCAGAACAUGGGUUUACCAAAGCAAAGAUCAUCACCAAUGAAUAAAAAAAAAAAAACAUAUUUAAGAUAUGGAAUCAUGGAAGAAAAUAUAUUUUAGCAAGGUUUCCAGGCUAACGUGAUCUUCCUUCACCUCCCAGCUAUGACAAAAUCAGACACAAUUCUUCAAAACAAAACUAUGUAUUCCUAUUGCUCCAUCCUUUCCUUCUGCUGAAAACCAGCAAAACGAGUAAGCAGCAGCUGUAUUUGACUUUGGACUCUCUGUAACUAUAUGAAAGUAACAUCCUGUUUGUGCACGUUAGAGCCGCGGCCUCCUGGAAGCAGCCCGGUCAGUGGAAAAAUAAGCACAUAAUUCUAACAAAUUAACACUGUUCACCCACUUUUGAGAUGUGGACUCACUGAUGGGAUUUUUUUUAUUAUUAUUAUUUUGGUUUUUUUUUUUUUGCCUUAUUAUAUUUUUUAGGGUCAAAUUAAAAAGAAAUUAAGUAAAAUAUAUUAAUCAAGAACAAAAUCGAAAGAAAAGAACCAAUAUAAAAAAAAUUGAUUUAAAUUUGUUAAUCAUAACAAAAUCAAAAGAAAAGGGAUCAAUAUAAAAAAAAGUUUUAAAAAUAAAUGGUGGGUUUACAAUUAUAAAAAAAAAUGCUUUAGCACUGAUACUUUUCAAAUUAUAUUUAUUUCAGAUGACAAUUUUUUUUGCAAUUUAAUUUUGAUACAAAUUUUUUUUAAUUUUUAAUUUCUUGGUUUGAAAGGAGAGAAAAGAAUUGCUGAAUUUCAAUGAUAAAGAGAGCAAAUUGACUUUGACAGCAAUUCUAGCCACCAAAAUGAUUAAUCUUGGUGUGAAUGGGUUUUAUUUGGUAAGAUUAGCUUCACUUAGGUGUUUUUUCCACCAUAAAAAUGCUUAAAAAUCAUUUCUAAACUCAGGAAGAUAUUUUAUUUCGAGUUGAUUUUGAGUUUUUAUGCAGCUUUUUAGGUUGUAAUGUUUUAGGUUGUUUAAGAUUAUUAAAGCGUUUAUCAACGUGUUUAGAGUCUUUUCCAAGUAAUUUGGUAAAACAUAGGUUAAAAAUAUAUUUCUAGGUUAAAAAUCAUGAACCCUGAUCCUCCAACCAUAAUUUAGAAAAAUUAAACGAGCAUCAUCUAUAUUUUUUAAAAAAUAAGGGUCUACACAUCCAGUUCCUUUCAAAAUGGGUCAGGCGCGCAUAGGCUCAUUCUUUUUCUUUUUUGUAAUUUUUAUAAUUUUGCUCUUUUUUAAAUUGAUGCUUUUUAUGUUUUUUUUAAAUAAUCUUUUUAAUUUAUAUUUAUAUUAAUAAUCUAUUUUUAAAAUUUAUUAUUUAUUAUUUUAAAAUUAUGGUUAUUUUUUAAUUAUUUUAUAGUAUUUAGUUUUUGAAGAUAUUAUUCUAAUUGAUUUUUAUUUUUUAAAUUUUUUUUUAAAUAAAAUUUAUUUUUAAAAAUAAAAAAUUGAAUAACUUUUUUAUUAAGUGCAACCUUGCAUGAUAUUUUUUUCACUUUGAUUUUAUUUAAUUAAUUUUAUGUAUAUAUUAAUUUCUAUUAUUAUUUGAUUAAAUAAAAAAUUUAAUUUUACUAAAAAGAGUCAUUUAACACAUAAUCGGUUUAAUGAAUCAUAUUAUGAGAUUAAAUAUUUUAAUUUACAUUAGUUUCUCGAUUUUUUCAAUUAAAUCUUUAGUUAUCAUUAAUUAUUAUUUUAUUUAUUAAUAUAAUAUAGAUAAUUAUUGAUUUAUUUAAUUAUAUAUGUAAAUAAAAUUAUUUAUUUUUACUUAAAAAAAAUAGAGAGUUCUUGAUUUUUAAAAAAAUAUAUAUAAAAAAAAUACAUUAAAAAUUCGAAUUAAUUUAAAAAAAAAAAAAAUACUUACCCCACAGGACACCGUGCGAAAAGGUAGCUAACAUCAAUCGAGGAAACCAGGUGGACCCACCAAAUGCCUUUUCUUUUCUUAACGAACGACGACCAUCUAGAAGUCCAACAGCAAUUUGAUUGCUUAAUCAAUCUGAUCCAAGCCCAACAUAUCUAACAUUAUGAUGGGCUAGGCCCACCAUGUCUUUCUACAACAAUGCCAAGGAGGCUUGGACCUUCUUACUCUAGUUUGACCCAAAUAUAAUAGGUUUCACUGCUCACGUUUCGCCACGGCCGAGCAAAAAAACUUUUGAUGUAAAAGAAAUAUUAGGAUAAAAAAAUCUAAGUACCAACUCAUUUGUUUAAAUAGUAAUUUAAAUAAUAUAAAAAAAAAUUAAUAAAAAUAAAUAAAUUGAAAAACAAAUUGAUACAAGUUUAUCGAGAUUACAAAACAACUCAAUGCUAAUCUAAUAGAAAGCAACUUUUAAAAAUAACAAAGAAAAAUUCCUAAAAAUAGAAAAAAUCAUUAGCUUUACAAAAAAUAAGAAAAAAAUAAUCAAGCAAACUCAACUGAACCUUUUAAAUCUGGUUUAAUUUUUAAAACUUGCAACUCAUUAAAUUUUGGAUUCGGAUUCAAUUGAUAAGCUUAACUUUCAACCAAUUUAAUUUUAAAAAAUAAAAUAGUUGCGAAAUAUUUUAAAAAAAAACUUGCAAAAGAUUAAAAAAAAUAGCAAUAAAAAAAAUGAGAAAAAAUUUUGUUUGAUUCUAUUUGUUUGAUUAUAACUCUAUGGUAGCUAGUCAGAAUAUUUAUGCUAACAAAGGUAGUGUUAGUCUUUGUGUACAUCGUAGUUCUGAAUCCUAGUUGAUUGGGGGAGUCACUAACCUGUAGUGACUAAUCAUUUCACGGUUUGGAGCGUCAUGCUCAGUUCAUUUUGAUUUUCUAAUGAGCCUUGCCUUAAAAUAUUUCUUAUUAUGAUCUACUUGUAAAAUUCUCUUGUGAAAGUAUAAAGCCAAACUUAUAUUUAAUUAUCUUUAUUGUAUUACUUUGUUGAUGUAUAUUAAAUGUUAUUUACUCACUAAGUUGUUGAACUUAUCCUUUUAUUAUUUAUCAUUUUCAGGCAAGUAACUUUGUUAGCAAGUCAUUUUUAUUGGACUUCCAAAACCUGUUUUUUUUUAUUAUUAUAAUUAAUGUUAUUUUUUAUAUCUAAUUAGUGCUCCACAUUUAAAGAAUUUAUAUUACGGAAUUAUUAUUAUUAUUAUUAUAUCAAAUAUUGUGUAGAGCUUUGAUUGAGUUAAAAAAAAUGAGGUAUGUCUAAAUGUUUGAAUUCACAUCGGUAAAGAAAUUGAAGGGAAAUCUUUUUUAUAUAUCGUUCAUGGAUUCGAGAAUUAGGUCUUGAUAGUCAAGGCUCCCUUACCUUUAGCUUGCUUGCUCGUGUGAUCCAAGAUCAUUGAAUUUGUCUCAACUAUGAUAAUAGAAGUUCUAGAUUAAUGAUUUAAAGUGUCGCUACAGGAAAAGAAAUAUUUUCUACUGCAUUCUAUAACCAUUGGAUGAAAAACCAGAGAAGGAUAAUGACAAAAGAGUUUCCGAAAGGUAAUACAGUUGGUGAAAGAAUUCACUACAGCUUCCUUGCUCUCGAGAGCUCUAAUUCGAACUAUGCUAGCUAGAUGUGUUGUUUGACAAUUCCCAGGCCAGAGAAGUAGUCAAAUUCCUGAGAGAGACUGCACGAUUUCAUCCGUGGCCGGGCGAUCUGCUGGAUUUUUACUCAAGCAACUAUCAAUCAAUCUGACCAUUAAAACGGCGAGUCCUGAAGGAUAAUUCCCUUGCAUUGAAGGAUCAAUAAUCUGACUCAGACUCUCCUCCAGCCCACCUUCCUCAGAAAGAACACCAUUUAAAACAUCAGAUAGCUCCCUGUUUUCCUCUCUGUAUAGAGCAGCAACUUCUUUCCCAGUCAUUAUCUCCAGUGUGAGAAUUCCAAAUGCAUAGACAUCAAGUUUUGUACAGAUAAUACCAUUUUCCAGGUACUCAGGAGCCAUGUAACCUUUAGUCCCAACGAUGUGCCUUGUCAAUGCAAAUUCACCUUCCGGCCCAUCUGUUGACCUUGCCAGGGAAAAGUUUGCAGUCUUAGCCCUUAAAUCAUUAUCAAGAAGUAUGUUGCUGCUCUUUAUAUCCUUGUGGACAUGAGGAUAGUCAGUAAAACUAUGCAGAUAGUUAAGCCCUGUAGCUACAUCCGUAGCAAUCUGUAUCCUUUGUGUCCAUUUCAAGAACUUUCCUUCGUUGCUGCUAACAUGAAUCCAAUCACUCAAAGGUCCAUUGGCAGCAUACUCGUAAACCAGGUACCAAUGCCCAUCAUUGAAACAAACACCAGAGAGGCGAAUUAGAUUACAGUGGUUGAUCUUAUUCAAUAAAUCUAUCUCCUUGGACACGUCUCC
RNAcentral lists this long non-coding RNA (6819 nucleotides) under Populus tremula. RNAcentral's name for it is "long non-coding RNA (PTRE_LNC003193)". Lineage: Eukaryota; Viridiplantae; Streptophyta; Magnoliopsida; Malpighiales; Salicaceae. The record is from RNAcentral.